CAGUCGCCACGGGAAUACAGAGGGUGCAAGCGUUAAUCGGAAUUACUGGGCGUAAAGCGCGCGUAGGUGGUUUGUUAAGUUGGAUGUGAAAGCCCCGGGCUCAACCUGGGAACUGCAUCCAAAACUGGCAAGCUAGAGUACGGUAGAGGGUGGUGGAAUUUCCUGUGUAGCGGUGAAAUGCGUAGAUAUAGGAAGGAACACCAGUGGCGAAGGCGACCACCUGGACUGAUACUGACACUGAGGUGCGAAAGCGUGGGGAGCAAACAGGAUUAGAUACCCGGGUAGUCCCUGUCUCUUAUAA
Molecule: ribosomal RNA, 301 nt
Filed under: uncultured bacterium
Lineage: Bacteria
Description: partial 16S ribosomal RNA
Rfam family: Bacterial small subunit ribosomal RNA
Source: RNAcentral